Molecule: transfer RNA, 73 nt
Organism: Camelus ferus (Wild Bactrian camel)
Lineage: Eukaryota; Metazoa; Chordata; Mammalia; Artiodactyla; Camelidae
Rfam family: tRNA
About the family: Transfer RNA (tRNA) molecules are approximately 80 nucleotides in length.
Source: Rfam
GGGUAUAUAGCUCAAGUGGUAGAGUGCAUGCUUAGUAUACAUGAGGUCCUGGGUUCAAUCCCCAGUCCUUCUU